Molecule: long non-coding RNA, 718 nt
Organism: Lepus europaeus (European hare)
Lineage: Eukaryota; Metazoa; Chordata; Mammalia; Lagomorpha; Leporidae
Exons: 3
Source: RefSeq, a predicted model, not a curated record
GAACGCACUGGGAGGUCACUGCAGGUCAAGAGAGGCACUGACCUCACUCACCCCCUGGGGUAGCCCUAACUCUGGGGCUUGCAGCAGCCGAAAGGGGCUCGCUGGGCCUCUUGCCUCACCAGUGUUAGAAGGGGUGGGUGGUCUGGGAAUGACCCCUGUUCCUUCUCCUCGGAAGACAGGGUUCUGUGCGCACAGCCUUCCGACGCUAGUGGUUUGCAGCAACACGUUUGCCCAGUGAAUAAGUCGGUGAAUUCCUAACUGCCUGCCUUCCAAAGCCCAGCGCUCCCGUGGAGACAGCAGAAACCAAUGCUGACUUCAAGUCAACCCAGCAUCCCCGACGGGAGGAAUUCGUCCCACUUCACCGACGCGUCCUGAGGGCCUUCCUGGCAUUCUGCACAGAGGUGUAUAGGAAAAGGUGUUAUGGCACAGUGGGUUAAGCUGCCUUUGCAGUUCCAGCUGCUCCACUUCCAGUCCAGCUCCCUGCUGAUGUUCCUGGGAAAGCAGCAGAAGAUGGCCCAAGUACAAAGGCCCCUGCCACCCAUGUAGGAGAACUGGAUGGAGCUCCAGGCUCCUGGCUUCAGCCUGACCCAGCCUCAGCCAUUGCAGACAUUUGCCUGGGAAAGCAGGAGAAGAUGGCCCAAGUCCUUGGGCAGCUGCACCCAUGUGGGAGACCCGGAAGAAGCCCCUGGCUCCUGCCUUCGGAUCAGCUAAGCUCUGG